GACAGAGGGUGCAAACGUUGUUCGGAAUUACUGGGCGUAAAGCGCGUGUAGGCUGCUUCGCAAGUCGGAUGUGAAAGCCCUGGGCUCAACCCAGGAAGUGCAUUCGAAACUGCAGAGCUGGAGUCCUGGAGAGGAAGGCGGAAUUCUCGGUGUAGAGGUGAAAUUCGUAGAUAUCGAGAGGAACACCGGUGGCGAAGGCGGCCUUCUGGACAGUGACUGACGCUGAGAACGCGAAAGCGUGGGGAGCAAACAGG
This 254-nucleotide ribosomal RNA is filed under the name uncultured bacterium. Its description in RNAcentral is "partial 16S ribosomal RNA". It matches the Rfam family "Bacterial small subunit ribosomal RNA", at positions 524 to 776 of the family's 1533-position model. The record is from RNAcentral.